Long non-coding RNA from Spinacia oleracea (spinach), 402 nucleotides. RefSeq lists it as uncharacterized. The record is from RefSeq and is a predicted model, not a curated record. Lineage: Eukaryota; Viridiplantae; Streptophyta; Magnoliopsida; Caryophyllales; Amaranthaceae. The transcript is spliced from 2 exons.
AAAAAAGGGGGGGAAAGAAAAGGGGGGAAAUAAAUUGAAGAGAGAGAAACACCUCCUUCUUCCUCCUUCUUCCUCAAUUUCUGAAGAACAUUCUGAAUUUCUUAUCUCCUCACCAUUUUUGCAGAAAAUCAAUUAUUCAAGCAUUAUGCAAGAGAUAAGGAGUAAUUAUCUUCUAAAGAUGAGAAAUACGGAAGAGAAUGAUGGUUCCUUCUACUCCCUGGAUGUCCAUGAUGACACCUCCACAACAAAUUUCUAAGUGGGACAUGUUGGUGUUCAUGACGUUUAUAUUAUUAUCACGGUGUAUGGUUGGAUUCAUUGUUUUGUGAGGAACUUAUGUUGUAUUUUGCUUUUGGAUUCUCCCAUUUGGGGCAUUUUAUAUUGUAUUCCUAUUAAGUAUUAUGA